Molecule: long non-coding RNA, 803 nt
Filed under: Homo sapiens (human)
Lineage: Eukaryota; Metazoa; Chordata; Mammalia; Primates; Hominidae
Description: HSALNT0007347
Source: RNAcentral
AGAUUUAAUACUUGUGAUUAUGAUAACAAUGACAAUGAUGAUAGAAGUGAAGGAGGAAAUUAGUGCCUUUCAAUAAACAUGGUACUGGAAUUUCAUGUGGAUCAGAAGUUUCCUUCAGUGGAAAACAAAAUUAGUUCCCUCCUCCAUGUUUCCCCAAUUCAUCUUAUGAUGUUCUUCCAAAAACAUACUAUUAUAUGCCCCUGAUAAUACCAUACCAGAUAAUGGAUUUCUUCCUGACUUCACCUUCUACUUGUUUGCCUCCAUUACUUUGCUCAUACUGUUUCCUCCUCUAGGCUUUUUCUUGCCUAUUCUCAUUUUUUGAAAUUCUUCUCAACCUGCAAAACCUGGCUGAAUGAAACCUUCUCUGACCAUUCUUUCUUCUUUGAUUCCUUUCUGUAUUUUACCUACUUCUAAUCUUGAUCCCUGCCAUGUGUUGGAGCCAUUUUCACAUGUCUGGAUCCCCCACUGAGAUUGUAAUCUCUUAGAGUAGAUGCUAAGCUGCUUAUAAACUGCAGAGAGAAAGAGCUGCAUACAACAUCUGCCACUGCACUAAUGUUCAGGGUGAUUCAGCCAAUGUGGUCCUAAUUCCACCUUGAACAGUCAUCCAUCAAAGGCAUAUAAGGAGCACCUUUCGAAGAGAUGGGAACUUCUUACAUUCAGGGAUACCCAGACAGUAAUCCAGCCAGGGCUUGUGAAGAAAGACAGGGUGAAAAGACAUGGUCAGAGUGCCUGUUAGGCAUUGCUGUUCUCCAGGGAAUAUCCACAGGGUAAUCAGAAGUCCAGAGUCUCUUCUGUAUGUGUUC